RNAcentral lists this ribosomal RNA (253 nucleotides) under uncultured bacterium. Its description in RNAcentral is "partial 16S ribosomal RNA". It matches the Rfam family "Bacterial small subunit ribosomal RNA", at positions 524 to 776 of the family's 1533-position model. The record is from RNAcentral.
UACGUAGGUGGCGAGCGUUGUCCGGAAUUACUGGGCGUAAAGGGCGCGUAGGCGGCCUGUUAAGUCGAACGUGAAAUCCCCGGGCUCAACCCGGGAACUGCGUCCGAUACUGGCAGGCUUGAAUCCGGGAGAGGGAUGCGGAAUUCCAGGUGUAGCGGUGAAAUGCGUAGAUAUCUGGAGGAACACCGGUGGCGAAGGCGGGACUCUGGGCCGAUACUGACGCUGAGGAGCGAAAGCGUGGGGAGCGAACAGG